GUGUCAGCCGCCGGGGUAAUACGGAGGAUGCGAGCGCUAUUCGGAAUCAUUGGGUUUAAAGGGUCUGUAGGCGGGCUAUUAAGUCAGGGGUGAAAGGCUUCAGCUUAACUGAGAAAUUGCCUUUGAUACUGGUAGUCUUGAAUAUCUGUGAAGUUCUUGGAAUGUGUAGUGUAGCGGUGAAAUGCUUAGAUAUUACACAGAACACCGAUUGCGAAGGCAGGGGACUAACAGACAAUUGACGCUGAGAGACGAAAGCGUGGGGAGCGAACAGGAUUAGAUACCCCCGUAGUC
Molecule: ribosomal RNA, 291 nt
Filed under: uncultured prokaryote
Description: partial 16S ribosomal RNA
Rfam family: Bacterial small subunit ribosomal RNA
Source: RNAcentral